RNAcentral lists this long non-coding RNA (2571 nucleotides) under Nicotiana benthamiana. RNAcentral's name for it is "long non-coding RNA (NBEN_LNC003736)". Lineage: Eukaryota; Viridiplantae; Streptophyta; Magnoliopsida; Solanales; Solanaceae. The record is from RNAcentral.
CCUCAUUAAGGUCUCAAGUUUAAAAAAUAAGACAUUUCCUGAGCAUUAGUAAUAGAUACAUGCAACAUCUCGAGAUUAAAUAAUUUAAUUUGAACUCCAAAGGGGAACCACAUUAUGGCCAUUCCCCGAACUUGAGGAACCAUGAAUAUCAACUUACGCUGUUUGUCUCGAGAUUAAAUAACUUAAGCUAGCCAUAUAAGAGAACAACUACAUGGGCGUUCUACAAAGUUGAGGCAUGGUUUUCCACGUUCAUAAACUAGAUAGUAUUGGGCUGCAGUGGUGUAUGCAGAAUUUUCCUAAGCGUUGUCGACAUUCAAAGAAGUGAACACAUGAACAAAUUACUGUAAUGACAUCAUAUAUUAAAAAAAAAUAACACAAUUCAAAUCCUAUUAAGAAAACAUAAUUCAAGUACAUUGCUACAACUCUCCUCAGCCAAUUUUCAUUUGAAAUAUAUCUAUAAUAGUCUCACUAGAAAUAAUAUUAAAUUCUUCAUUUUUCUAUAUAAGACACCAAACAAUCACUCAAAAACUCAUCAUUCAUUUGAUUCCGCAAAUCGGCCUUAAUCUACUUCAUCAUCCAGAAAUAAGAUGAAAGAAAAAAGAAAUAGUAAAACAACUUACAAUGGAAACAAUAGCACCUUAGAAGGGAAUUUAUUUUUCUUUGGAAUGUGUGAUAUUGACUCUCGACCUACUGUUUUAGUAUGAAUUUACCAUCUGAGAUAUCAAAAGUUCAAGCCCCACUUAUAUGCACAGAUAUUUUAAAACACAACGAUGCAUCUGCGAUGUUCGAACGCGUGGCCUCUCUUAUUAAACUAAGGCACUUGACCAGCAGAACCAAGAAGCUCUACCUACUGAUGUCAUUUUAGCUUAUUUAGCCUAUGUUUUGUUUUAGCAUAUUAUUAUAUAGAUAUAUCGUGAAAAUUUCCGACAAAGUGGUGUCGGAUAACACCAUGUAAGCAAACGUGCAUCUGCCCUGCUGGGAUGUAACCCAUAUUUACAUAUUAUCUUGCGAUGUAUAACAAAAUUUCUAUUCACCAGAGCAGGAUCACUGCCAUGUGUAAGUGUCUUUACAGGCAACAUAGUUCCUCGUCACAAUGGUCAGACAGUAAGAUAAAGAGAGCAGGCAACUUAACUAUUCACCAGGGUUAUUCAGAAACCAACAACAUCCAUAGAAUGGAAGCUUGUAACUUAUAUUCAUCCCAUGACUCGCCAUCAGCAUCACAUCCUUUUUUGCAGAAGACUCCCUUCAAAAAUUCAGACAUAGCAAAAUUGUGAUAUAUCCAAGCUUAUUCACGCCAAGAAACAAAUUACUACAAGAAUAAGUCGACACUAAAACAUUCAAAAUAAACUUAAAGUGGUAUUAUAUUUUUUUUAAAGAAAAUAUAUCUUAAAGAAUUGUUUCGUAACAAAAUUACAAAUAGAUGGACAUAAAGAAAGCAAGCUAAAAAAGGCCGGAGUGAUUGUUGUCAAAGUAUUGGGUUUUACUAGCUACCCUCCUUUUCCAUCUACUCCAUAGACAACAGACUUAAUAUCAGUAGAAUUAUCAUGCUUUCAAUUUCUUGAUGUCUAUGACAUGCAAUACUUCGAAAGUAGAGAAAAUUCCAAGUAGGUUCAUAUUUGUCCAACUAGCAUUGAGCCAGAACUUGCAACCAGUGUUGUAAAGGUCAUUUUUUAUAAGGAGCCAAAAUUUGAGAGCCUCAACUCAAGGUAUAAAAAAAGAGAGAAUUCAGAUACUUGAAUAAGGACCUGCUAAUGCAUCUUAUCCAUUCACAACUAGAUAUUCUUAAGCUACCCAUGGUGGCCUUUAAUUGCAGUGACAACUUACACAAAGAGAACAGACCAAUCACAAAUAGAUGACCGUUAGGAAAAUAAGACCUUCUAAUUUUCCAUACUUAGAGGAACUUGACAUUUUUUAGGACCUUGUUGACCGCUCCUGUUGGCAGUUAUCUUAAAAUUCUUUAAAGAGUUCUUACUUUACCAACUUAUCCUUCUCAAGAGAAGAGAGGUAGAUGAUUAAAAAUCUCAAUGUAGAGGAUUUUCUUUCACUUUUCUGCUUAACUAACACAUUUUUGAAUGCUCAACCAACACUCUUUCUAUUAUUGUAGUCCAAUCACACACCUUACGGCAUCCGGCAUCCUCAAAAUUAACAUGGCAACAUCACCAAUUUUAACACCAAAUGGUUAGAUCCAUAUACUGAUUAUCCAUAUCUAAGAGAAAGCUACAAUUUUAGAAACUAUGGAAGUUUCUACAAUUUUAACAAACUAUAAAGUGAAGAAAUGUAGAUCUACCAUAAAUUAUUGCCGACUAUUCAGAGCAGCUAGAUUGGCUCAAAAUCUUAUCACUUGAAAAUUCAGUAAGCUAACCAUAAAUUGCACAAAAGAGAAUUGUGCAACUCACUUCAUUGUAAGUAAUGAGUUACACCAAACACGCAUAUGAUGGUAAAGCCCAGUCAGCAGUAGUGCGAGUUUCCCGGAUUAUGAAGGUAGAAUAAGCUUGGUAAGAGUUGGAAGGAUUCAAAUUAAACAGCACGCCUGAGAAAUCCAACCAAAUGCGCAGGCCUAGAGGAAUGCUU